This 1592-nucleotide long non-coding RNA is filed under the name Durio zibethinus. Its description in RNAcentral is "long non-coding RNA (DZIB_LNC000743)". Lineage: Eukaryota; Viridiplantae; Streptophyta; Magnoliopsida; Malvales; Malvaceae. The record is from RNAcentral.
GAUAUUAUCUUAUACUCAUAAUAUUUAUUUAUGUGAAAAGUUAAAUAUUAAACACCAAUAUUUUGAACUAGUGGGAUAUUGUUAGUAGUUUAGAAUGUGAUAUAUCUCACAUUGGAUAGAAAUAUUUAAUUAUUGAUAAAUAAAAUUAAUUUUUGUAUUAAUUUUAUUAAUAUUUUAAAUAAUUAUAUUUAAACAGAAACAAUUAUUAUAGACAAAUAGUCAUAAUUAUUUGAAUAUAAAUAGAUUAUUAUUUAUAAAUGUCAUGAUUAUAUAAAAAAUCAUAAUCAUUUAAAUAAAAAUUUAUUCGUUCAUUAUAAAUAUAUCUUUCAAUACAAUCAUUUUUACUAUUUCUAUUUGAAGAGUUUUAAAAUUUUGUUAUAUCAUAAAAAUAUAAUUAUCUUUAAAAAAAUAUUCUUCAGUUAUAAAGCCAAUAUAUUUUUUUAUUAUUUCCCAUCUCUUAUUUAUAUUUUCUAACAUUUUCUAUUCAGGUACGAAACUUUCACAAAUCCGAUCCCUUACUUUUUUUGAAAGAGCUAAAGUUAAAGUUCUUGAGCUCUUUCUUCUAUAGCCUAAAGAGAAAGGCAACUCAUUGCAAAUUUCUUAAGCACCGGUGAUGUUGACAAUUUGGGCAAAGAUCUCAGGGUACAGGAAAUAGGUAGCAAACAUAACAGCCAAUUAAUUCAUCUAACACUUGGAAUGUAUUUCUUGGUUCCUCACAUGUAAUGAGCAGUAAUAAUGAAUUUAAUAGCUAUCACGUAAUAUGAAUUUUACACAUAGUGAUAGUGAACUUAUCAUAUUACUUGCAUUUCACAUGUAAAUAUAACAAACCUAUCAUAAGGAGAUUAAUAAAUAAUGCAGCACCUGCUUUGAUUCAAAUAUUAAAUGUGAGAAUGAACAUUUAAUUCAAAAUGAAUUGACAACAAAUAAAGCUACUCAUACUUUACUUAUAUGUUAGGGAUAUCUCAAAUUUUAACAUGUGAAUUUUUUUAUCACUGCUUUAAUAAAACCAUCUUAGCUAAUUAAGUUUGAACAUUUGAAGUUUAUUGUUGGACACAUGAAAUCCACGUCAGAAAAGAAUGAAAAAUCAUACCAACAUUAAAAAAAAAAAAAAUUGUCAAAAUUCAACAACUUUUAGCAAGGAAAAACCGGAAUCUUCUCUCUCAAGUACUGGGUUCUUUUCUUUCCAGUCUCCUUUUUUAACGUGGAAUGAAAUAUUUAAAAAUUUGAAUCCAUUUCCUUGUAUAAAGAAGAAAUCAUAAACUUUUAAACUUAAAACCAAAACCUAAAUUUAUAGAGAGAUUUGGGAUGGGGAAAAAGAGGAAGGGAAGGAUCUCAUAACGUACUGAUUUAACAAAAUUUGCAGAGCACUUUUUGGUUGAAAAGUGAAUGGGCAAUCAAAUCACAAUAAAAGAUUAAGGAAACUUUGUUGGAUUUUCAAAGAGAGUUGUGAAGAUAAUUAAAAUCGUCGCCUGAAUAAUUGUUUUCUUUUCAAAUAUUUGUGUUUUCUCCCUUUCUUUUGUUGGCAAAAGAAAAGAAAAAAAAUUUUGGAAGAAAUAUGAAUUUGGUUACAGGGGAGAAAAGGGAGAGGGAAG